RNAcentral lists this ribosomal RNA (676 nucleotides) under uncultured bacterium. RNAcentral's name for it is "bacterial SSU rRNA". It matches the Rfam family "Bacterial small subunit ribosomal RNA", at positions 28 to 686 of the family's 1533-position model. The record is from RNAcentral.
GAUGAACGCUGGCGGCGUGCCUAAUACAUGCAAGUCGAGCGCAAAGAUCAGGAGCUUGCUCCUGUGAUUUGAGCGGCGGACGGGUGAGUAACACGUAGGCAACCUACCCUUGAGAUUGGGAUAACUACCGGAAACGGUAGCUAAUACCGGAUACGACCUUUCCACACAAGUGGAAUUGUUAAAAGGCGGAUUUAUCUGCCGCUCAUGGAUGGGCCUGCGGUGCAUUAGCUAGUUGGUGAGAUAGUAGCUCACCAAGGCGACGAUGCAUAGCCGACCUGAGAGGGUGAUCGGCCACACUGGGACUGAGACACGGCCCAGACUCCUACGGGAGGCAGCAGUAGGGAAUCUUCCGCAAUGGACGAAAGUCUGACGGAGCAACGCCGCGUGAGUGAUGAAGGGUUUCGGCUCGUAAAACUCUGUUGUUAAGGAAGAAUACUUGAGGUAGUAACUGGCCUUGAGAUGACGGUACUUAACCAGAAAGCCACGGCUAACUACGUGCCAGCAGCCGCGGUAAUACGUAGGUGGCAAGCGUUAUCCGGAAUUAUUGGGCGUAAAGCGCGCGUAGGCGGUAAAAUAAGUCUGAUGUGAAAGCCCCCGGCUCAACCGGGGAGGGUCAUUGGAAACUGUUUUACUUGAGUACAGAAGAGGAGAGUGAAUUCCAUGUGUAGCGGUGAAA